CUUCAGAAUUUCUCCAAUUGUUUCAAUAUCAGCACUGAUACUCAAUAUGUUCUCUGAGUCACUGCUGUCUGUGACUGAAACACUGACAUUGUAGUCUGAGAUAGGAAGAGCCUACAUCUGAACUC
Long non-coding RNA from Herpailurus yagouaroundi (jaguarundi), 125 nucleotides. RefSeq lists it as uncharacterized. The transcript is spliced from 4 exons. Lineage: Eukaryota; Metazoa; Chordata; Mammalia; Carnivora; Felidae. The record is from RefSeq and is a predicted model, not a curated record.